UACAAUGCGAAGCGAAGCAGCGAUGUGAAGCAAAUCGCACCAAAGCCGGUCCCAGUUCGGAUAAGAGGCUGAAACUCGCCUCUUUGAAGUCGGAAUCGCUAGUAAUCGCAGAUCAGCAUGUUGCGGUGAAUACGUUUCCUGGUCUUGUACACACCGCCCGUCAAACCAUGAGAGUCGCCAACACCCGAAGUCCGCUUUGCGGCCUAAGGUGGGGGAGAUGAUUGGGGUUAAGUCGUAACAAGGUACC
This 247-nucleotide ribosomal RNA is filed under the name uncultured bacterium. RNAcentral describes it as "partial 16S ribosomal RNA". It matches the Rfam family "Bacterial small subunit ribosomal RNA", at positions 1238 to 1500 of the family's 1533-position model. The record is from RNAcentral.